Stegodyphus dumicola is the source of this 1194-nucleotide long non-coding RNA. Lineage: Eukaryota; Metazoa; Arthropoda; Arachnida; Araneae; Eresidae. The record is from RefSeq and is a predicted model, not a curated record.
UUUCAAGCCACAGGCGAUGAUUUUGACUUUUAAAAACAUAGUACAAUUGCAAUUACUUCUUUUGCAGCAAACGAUUUUUUAUUACCGCUUACCAAAAUCGUCUAAAAAAUGUGCGAACAGUCUCUGUAUUUACAGGUAUUCUGAGAGAUGACCAUUAUUUCAAAGUUUCCUCCAAUAUAAAAAGCUGAAAAAUCUUUAUCUAAUUCAGUCUUUCUGAACACUUUUAUCCUGGAGAAAACUUUAAAAAAAACCUUAACGGAAACUUCACAGCAUCUUUCGAAGAACCCAUCCGCGAAAAAAUAUUAAAAAUAUCGCUCGAAGAGCCCUGGGCUUCUGCAGAACCUCGGAUUAGAAAAUAUAAUCUAGUACCAGUUCCAGCUCUUAUCGAGCAAAAAAAUUCCACUGGAAAUGCAGGAAUGGGAGGGAGGGAUUUCAGGGUGGUCCGAAACGAACCAGUAUGUGAUUUAUCUGUAUAACUGUUGACUCAAAAGUGCGGCUGAUAACACUUAUCGCCAAAUGGAUACAUAAAAAUGACACUGAGAAGAAAUCGCGCAGCAAAUAAGCUCUUGUUGAUAAACAAAAGUGGCAUCAAAAGGUUAGACAAGAUAGUACUUGCUUUCUGUAGUCGUAGUUCUGGCGGUUGAAGCGAUCACGUUUAGUGAUUGCAGCAGAGGAAGUUUCAGAAUCCCAUGACUUAUCAGAUAAAAUGCUUAUAGAUGUUAGAUGUAAGAUUGUUCAGUAAGUGUCGCAAGGGAAACGAAUUCUGUUGUGGACACCACGUGACUUUUUUUUUUUUUUUUUUUUUUUUUGCUGCAUUUCAUUUAAACUCAUUUCUUCGAAUUGUUGUAACUUGACUUCCCAAUCCCUCAGUGCUAGUUGAAAAUGACAUAAAAAAUUUCAAAUAUUUGAAAUAUCCUGGUGAAUUUUUGCCAUAAGGAAAUCAUAUGUGAUUUUCCAGCCACAUCAAGAACUUAAAAAAAAAAAAUGUUAGAGAACCACAAGGAGAGACUUCGAAGGUCAGCUGUCGUCUGCGUACCACAGAUGUAGAAACACUGUCUUAAUACGCUGAUUAUUCACGAGGCCUGUAAAACUACAUUUUCUGAAGUACAGACAAAAUUCAAUAACUGAUGUACAAUAUGGAGAUUUUUAGUAUGAAGCAGUUUCGCUUAAUUCCAAACUAAGAAAAUAAAAGGU